Molecule: long non-coding RNA, 510 nt
Organism: Talpa occidentalis (Iberian mole)
Lineage: Eukaryota; Metazoa; Chordata; Mammalia; Eulipotyphla; Talpidae
Exons: 3
Source: RefSeq, a predicted model, not a curated record
CUCUGAAAUUCCAUGGUGAGAGAACAACACAGAGAACAACACAGUUUUUUCCACAGAGGCAGGAUGAAGUCACCAUCCAAAGAAGAGCUCAAUCUUCAAGACUAAAACAGACUGGAAGGGGAUGUAUAUCCAAGUUUUUUGAAUCACAGUUAUACAUCUUUGAACCUCUCUUUGCUGUAACGACCUUCUGGUGCUCAUUAGCAUGCUGAUUACCAUUAACACAGCUAUAAUGCAGCAAUUUUCUUGGUGUAUGUCGCGGAGAAAUGCUCAUCUGAAUGCAGUCAGGGGACAAAAUUAACUGCAUAAAUCUACAGCACAAACUGGAUCUCGUCCAACUUUGCACAAGUCUUCUCUCCUAGUCGUGACAUCAUCAUCCAGAUUCUCACUGACGGCUUAAUAAGUAUCUCAGGGUUUCAUAUUUAAUUUCCUUUCAUCGCCAUAUAUUACAUUUCAACUUAAUUUCAUCCUGACCACCUUAUUACGUCUCAUAAUAUAUAUUUACCUUUAAUC